RNAcentral lists this ribosomal RNA (309 nucleotides) under uncultured bacterium. Its description in RNAcentral is "partial 16S ribosomal RNA". It matches the Rfam family "Bacterial small subunit ribosomal RNA", at positions 504 to 809 of the family's 1533-position model. The record is from RNAcentral.
AGAGACAGCAGCCCGCGGUAAUACGUAGGGCGCAAGCGUUAUCCGGAAUUAUUGGGCGUAAAGAGCUCGUAGGCGGUUUGUCGCGUCUGCCGUGAAAGUCCGGGGCUCAACCCCGGAUCUGCGGUGGGUACGGGCAGACUAGAGUGAUGUAGGGGAGACUGGAAUUCCUGGUGUAGCGGUGAAAUGCGCAGAUAUCAGGAGGAACACCGAUGGCGAAGGCAGGUCUCUGGGCAUUAACUGACGCUGAGGAGCGAAAGCAUGGGGAGCGAACAGGAUUAGAUACCCCGGUAGUCCCUGUCUCUUAUACAC